This 1397-nucleotide long non-coding RNA is filed under the name Equus caballus (horse). RNAcentral describes it as "lncRNA (ENSECAG00000050519.1)". Lineage: Eukaryota; Metazoa; Chordata; Mammalia; Perissodactyla; Equidae. The record is from RNAcentral.
AGCUGGCUCAAGAAACCACAUCCAACCCACGGCGCCCUGCAGCUGAGCAGGGUGGGCGUAUCGCUGGCGUGGGAGACGGAACACACACCGUGGAAGCUCCGGCGACCCGACUAGGUCUCAGUAGCUGCUUCUGACAUUCAUGUACGUAAAACAGGAAGCAGAAGAAAACAAACAAAAUUGAAUGUUGAUGAGCGCAACUUUAACUUUCAAAGCAAAUUCAAGAAAAGAGUCUAGUCACUAAGAUGAAAUACUUCCUGGAAAACCCAGCCCUCGGGGCCACCAUCAGAGACCUGUCCACUGACAAGGGCGGUGGGUGAACCACUCCCACCAGAAAAGGAGGAGGACCUGAAGCUCACUGGGAAGUCAGAGGACACACGGACGGAGGUGACAAGGAAGCUCCAGGAUGACUGUGACGGCUCCAGAGGACUGGUCCUGUCUCCUCAUUCUUGCCUUUACACCAUUUUAAAGUAACAGAUAUCUAUGUGCUGGCAGUUUGUUUAUUCUCUAAAUCCACAAACAUAUUAACAUUUGGGAGGAGGAGGGGGUAACCGAGCGUGUGCUGCCUGUGACCGGCGUUAUAGGUCAUCAAUAAGCUGGACAAACGACCUCUGGUCUACCAGCUGGGCGUGCCAGGGACGGUGAGCACCAAGUCUCAGCCGUGUCCAGUUCGGGGGGCAGUGGGACAGAGCCUCUCCCGCCACAGGGCUGCCUGGCCCCCAGCGUGUCGGUGGAGCUAUGGGGGCUGAGGACACCACACCGCACGAGGCGAGUCAGGGGAGCUCUUGGCCUCGUUAUGUUUUGAACUGUGGAAAAGUAAAUACCAUGGUUGACUCAUAAUAUUAAUGGAAACCUCUUUUGGUAUGCUUUUAAAUUAAAUUUUUAUAUAUCUUCGCAGUCUUCAGGAAGCUAAAGGCAACAUAAAUAUCAUUCACCAUGAAAAGAUAUUUUUUCAAUAACUUAGGAAGUAUUCAAUAAACAUACAAGUAUUUUUGAGGCUUAUCGUGAAACUUAAUUUAUAAACUAAACUGAAAUGACCAAGAUUUUCAAGACCUGGGAAGCGAGCAAAGGUCCUGCGUGUCAGGACAGAAUGUGCCGUACUGCACCGCCCUCCAGCCGCGAGCCGAAGCUACAGCAGCGCGGCCGAGCUGCGCGAGACGUUGGAGCGCUUCAUCACCUGCGACGUGGUGCUGGUAGUGUCUGGCUGAGUGGGAAUUCUCUCAUACAAAAGUUAUAAAUAUUCUCUAUUCAGAAGUCUGGUCCACACGACACCCGGAGGCAACAUUCCACAGCGCGGUCGUGGUCCUGCCCCCGCGCUCACUGGCCCCGGUUGUGAGGCUGCCUCCUGCCGUGCUGCCGGCGCUCACAGCAAGUCCAUCUUGGGUCUGUAGUGCAGCAGG